This 207-nucleotide ribosomal RNA is filed under the name uncultured bacterium. Its description in RNAcentral is "partial 16S ribosomal RNA". It matches the Rfam family "Bacterial small subunit ribosomal RNA", at positions 568 to 774 of the family's 1533-position model. The record is from RNAcentral.
AGCGUAGACGGAUGGACAAGUCUGAUGUGAAAGGCUGGGGCUCAACCCUGGGACUGCAUUGGAAACUGCCCGUCUUGAGUGCCGGAGAGGUAAGCGGAAUUCCUAGUGUAGCGGUGAAAUGCGUAGAUAUUAGGAGGAACACCAGUGGCGAAGGCGGCUUACUGGACGGUAACUGACGUUGAGGCUCGAAAGCGUGGGGAGCAAACA